AAUCUGCAUAAUUUAGCUUAGAGAGGUGUGGGAUACUGGAAAAAUGCUCGUAACAGAACGAAUGUAAACUAACACGUGCAAUGGUCAGACGGUACAGAACAGAGCGGAAGUCACUAUUCUGUGUUUCAGGAUAAGCGCGGUGCGGAUGUAGAAGGAGAAAUGGAUGUCAAUGUCCCCACAAACGCCGGCUCUGGGAGAGCGGCCCGGCCGGAGCAGGGCAGGGCCGGGCAGGUCUGCAGGCGGUCGCGAACAGUUCGAGCUCCCGAACUUCAGGGGACGGGCAGCAGGCGGGUCGGGAAGGCUGGACCUUCCCGUACCUCGGCAAUGGGAAAGGAAGAGGGCAACGCGCAGUCGGAGUUUAGGAUAAAAGGAGGCUGCGUCCUCCAAAAUCUUGAGGGACCCCGCGGGGUACGGCCCAGGGAACUCUCUCCUUUUAUUCAAAUCAAAUAAAUAAAGUUGCAGGACUCCUCUGUCUCCUUUGUGGACACUGGCUUUUCACAGCGUGAUUUUCUGCAUAAACCAAAUCACAAAUCUCAAAGCAGUUUGCAGAAAAGAAAUUUUUUUCACAUUUCUUUCAGCCUGGAAAAGAGAAGGCUUCUGGAUGACCUUCCUGCUGCCUUCCGAUACUUGAAGGGAACUUUCCUCAAGCUGGGGAAGACUAUUUACAAGAGUGUGUAGUGACAGGACAAAGGUGAAGGCUUUACAUUGACAGAAAGCAGGUUUAGAUUAGUUUUAGAUUAAAAAUUCUUUACUGUGAGGGUGGUAAGGCACAGGAACAGGUUGUCCAGAGAAGCUGUGAAUUCCCCAUCCCUGAAGUGUUCAAGGACUGCUUGGAUAGAGGGAGCUCUGAGCAACCUGGCCCCAGGAAGGAAAAGAAAAAAAGUCUUUUCUGAGGAAAAAGAAAAAAGUCUGGGCGAAUGGUUUUGAAGGAAGCUGCUUAGGAGUUUGUGGUGGAAACUGCUCCCUACAUUUCCUGAGUGAAGAGAAGGGUACUGACAUCUGACUCAGGUAAAAGGAGCAGGGGUUUUGCUGCAGUGACCAACAGCCGUCCUUGUAUAACACCCUGCGUAAAGAAAACUGAAUUACAUCUGAGAUCUUUGUACAUAACAUUUACAGCCCUCAGUGAGGCUUCUGACAAUGUCCUGUUUACAUGUCAUCAAGCAUGCUUGGUUUUCUUUCAGACAGUAAGUGCUUACUGCCACUGCAAACCUGGCAGAGUGUAUCUAACCCUGCAUCUCCACCCUGCACUGUGAAAUGUGUCCUGUACACUUUUAUUCAUCAAAUGUGGGACACGAUCCAGGCUCGCUUCCUCUAAAAGGACAGAUCCACAAUGCCAGGCAGUGCCACUGCUACUUUGAGCAGUUACAGUUUUGUAGUUUUCUGCAUUUCCUACCACUUUUGUUACAUUUACUGCCCAGUAAACAAUAAAAUCUAAGAAACAAAGUUUUCUUAGACUGCUGUCAUGAGAUCCUUGGAAACACUUGUGCCUUUUAGAAAGAGAACAUUUCCAGGAAACUGCCCAGCCUUGUGCCAGCAACAACUGCGUGCAUCAGUCAUCUUGUUCCAGUGAAGAAGUAGACUGCCAGCAGUGCUAGAGCAGCCUUUCCACACCUCUGCUUCGAUCUAAGGGGAGAACUUUUGCAAUCAGCUCAAUUUCUGUGACCCAGUCAGUCCUUGGCAUUUCUUUUACAGCAACCAACAAGAUGAGCAGUUUGGAGGAGCACACCAGCCCCACCUCCACUAGCCUGUUUCCUGAUGUCUGUUAAGUACCCAAGAGUCACCAUAGCUUAACAUCUUCUCCAGCCUGUUUGGGAAAGAAAGAAUGUUCAAUCCCUCUAGAUAUGUGCAAACACUAGUGUGUGCCCAGCAAAAUGCCAGACUCCUCCCAGAACACAGCUGCCAGCUUUCAGAGAAAUCACUGGGGUUUGUGAGAUGUGCAAAACGGCAAAAUGGUGUUGAGCAAGAAUUUAUACCUGCAAAAAAAAAUAAAUGUUUGCUUUGCUGCUCAUGAAUUCACAGUGAAAAGGAGUUCAUGUGGAAAUUUAAUUUGUGCAAAAUACUGUUAAAAAAAUCAAUCAUAAGUGUUUUGAGUUACACAGUGGAAUAGAAUUGUUGCUUUGUAAAACAGUGCAAGGUUUACAGAUUUUCCCUCACUAUAAAAGACAAUUCCCUAAUUUUCCCACGGUUGUCACAUUAGUUGUUGUUCCAAGUCAAGUGAAUGGGGCGCCUCUAAGCAUCACGACAGCAAAAAUGUACCAAUUAAACCUGAAUCUCUAGCAAGACUGAGAGAAGUUCAGAAAUUUGCCCAAAAUGAAGAGAGUAUAUUUCUUCUCAUCUCACGUCUGCUUAAAUCUUUACAGGAUUAAAGAACAGGAAGGGGCAUGUUUGCUCCAGAUAACUUCCCAGAUGAACUGUUAAAAGCCUUUUCUGUGUGACAACAUUAGCUAAAAUGAGUAAUUAAAAGUUCCUGACGAACACGACAGGCUUCCGAGUCCACUGAUUCCAUUUGCUCGUAUUCUUCUUCCGAUUGUUCCAUGUGUGCUGUG
Molecule: long non-coding RNA, 2546 nt
Organism: Passer domesticus (house sparrow)
Lineage: Eukaryota; Metazoa; Chordata; Aves; Passeriformes; Passeridae
Exons: 2
Source: RefSeq, a predicted model, not a curated record